RNAcentral lists this ribosomal RNA (468 nucleotides) under uncultured bacterium. Its description in RNAcentral is "partial 16S ribosomal RNA". It matches the Rfam family "Bacterial small subunit ribosomal RNA", at positions 28 to 507 of the family's 1533-position model. The record is from RNAcentral.
GACGAACGCUGGCGGCGUGCUUAACACAUGCAAGUCGAACGGAAAGGCCCUGCUUUUGUGGGGUGCUCGAGUGGCGAACGGGUGAGUAACACGUGAGUAACCUGCCCUUGACUUUGGGAUAACUUCAGGAAACUGGGGCUAAUACCGGAUAGGAGCUGCUGCUGCAUGGGGGGGGGUGGAAAGUUUCGGCGGUUGGGGAUGGACUCGCGGCUUAUCAGCUUGUUGGUGGGGUAGUGGCUUACCAAGGCUUUGACGGGUAGCCGGCCUGAGAGGGUGACCGGCCACAUUGGGACUGAGAUACGGCCCAGACUCCAACGGGAGGCAGCAGUGGGGAAUAUUGAACAAUGGGCGGAAGCCUGAUGCAGCAACGCCGCGUGCGGGAUGACGGCCUUCGGGUGGUAAACCGCUUUCGCCUGUGACGAAGCGUGAGUGACGGUAAUGGGUAAAGAAGCACCGGCUAACUACGUG